GAUGAACGCUGGCGGCGUGCCUAAUACAUGCCAGUCGAGCGAACAGAUGAGGAGCUUGCUCCUCUGACGUUAGCGGCGGACGGGUGAGUAACACGUGGAUAACCUACCUAUAAGACUGGGAUAACUUCGGGAAACCGGAGCUAAUACCGGAUAAUAUAUUGAACCGCAUGGUUCAAUAGUGAAAGACGGUUUUGCUGUCACUUAUAGAUGGGUCCGCGCCGCAUUAGCUAGUUGGUAAGGUAACGGCUUACCAAGGCAACGAUGCGUAGCCGACCUGAGAGGGUGAUCGGCCACACUGGAACUGAGACACGGUCCAGACUCCUACGGGAGGCAGCAGUAGGGAAUCUUCCGCAAUGGGCGAAAGCCUGACGGAGCAACGCCGCGUGAGUGAUGAAGGUCUUCGGAUCGUAAAACUCUGUUAUUAGGGAAGAACAAAUGUGUAAGUAACUAUGCACGUCUUGACGGUACCUAAUCAGAAAGCCACGGCUAACUACGUG
RNAcentral lists this ribosomal RNA (497 nucleotides) under uncultured bacterium. RNAcentral's name for it is "partial 16S ribosomal RNA". It matches the Rfam family "Bacterial small subunit ribosomal RNA", at positions 28 to 507 of the family's 1533-position model. The record is from RNAcentral.